This 502-nucleotide ribosomal RNA is filed under the name uncultured bacterium. Its description in RNAcentral is "partial 16S ribosomal RNA". It matches the Rfam family "Bacterial small subunit ribosomal RNA", at positions 29 to 507 of the family's 1533-position model. The record is from RNAcentral.
AGCGAACGCUGGCGGCGUGCCUAACACAUGCAAGUCGAACGUGAAAGGGAGCAAUCCCCCGUAACGUGGCGUACGGGUGAGUAACACGUAGGUAAUCUACCCCAGAAUCUGGCAUAACCGGCCGAAAGGCUGGCUAAUACUGGAUAGAGCGACGGAAUCCGUAAUUGGGUUUUUCGGGAUUGGGAGCCUGUAAUAAGGCCUUCGUUCUGGGAUGAGCCUGCGUCCCAUCAGCUAGCUGGUGGGGUGAAAGCUUACCAAGGCAUUGACGGGUAGCUGGUCAGCGAGGACAAUCACCCAAACUGGACUGAAAACACGGUCCAGCCCCCUGCGAGAGGCAGCAGGGGGGAAUCUCGCGCAAUGGAAGAAAUGCGGACGCAGCAACGCCGCGUGAGUGAAGAAUGCCGUCGGGUUGUAAAGCUCAGUCGAGUGGGACGAAAAUGCUGGGAGUUCACAGCUCCAGGAACUGACGGUACCACGAAAGGAAGCACCGGCUAACUCCGUG